Naja naja (Indian cobra) is the source of this 220-nucleotide small nuclear RNA. Its record names the gene U2. It matches the Rfam family "U2 spliceosomal RNA". From Rfam's summary of the family: U2 is a small nuclear RNA (snRNA) component of the spliceosome (involved in pre-mRNA splicing). Complementary binding between U2 snRNA (in an area lying towards the 5' end but 3' to hairpin I) and the branchpoint sequence (BPS) of the intron results the bulging out of an unpaired adenosine, on the BPS, which initiates a nucleophilic attack at the intronic 5' splice site, thus starting the first of two transesterification reactions that mediate splicing. Lineage: Eukaryota; Metazoa; Chordata; Lepidosauria; Squamata; Elapidae. The record is from Ensembl.
CUCGCUUCUCAGCCUUUUGGCUAAGAUCAAGUGUAAUAUCUGACUGCAGCCUGGGAUAAAUAAAACUUCAAAGUCCCCCACCCAAAGGCAAUAGAAGCUAUAAAAGAUGUGAUAUGCACUUUCAAGGAAAUUAUUUUUUCAAAAUUGAGGAAAAUACACUGCUAAUACACAAAUACACUGCCAUAGAUAAUACACUAUUCAUAGUCUUUGGCAAUCUCUA